This 231-nucleotide ribosomal RNA is filed under the name uncultured bacterium. RNAcentral's name for it is "partial 16S ribosomal RNA". It matches the Rfam family "Bacterial small subunit ribosomal RNA", at positions 91 to 339 of the family's 1533-position model. The record is from RNAcentral.
CCUAGCGGCAGACGGGUGCGUAACAUGUGGGAAUCUGCCUUUUGGUUCGGAACAACACGGGGAAACCUGUGCUAAUACCGGAUAAGUCCUUACGGAGAAAGUUUUAAUGCCGAAAGAUCAGCCCGCGCUAGAUUAGCUAGUUGGUGAGGUAAUGGCUCACCAAGGCGACGAUCUAUAGCUGGUUUGAGAGGAUGAUCAGCCACAUUGGGACUGAGAUACGGCCCAAACUCC